Molecule: ribosomal RNA, 424 nt
Filed under: uncultured bacterium
Lineage: Bacteria
Description: partial 16S ribosomal RNA
Rfam family: Bacterial small subunit ribosomal RNA
Source: RNAcentral
GAAUAUUUGACAAUGGGGGGAACCCUGAUCCAGCCAUGCCGCGUGUGUGAAGAAGGCCUUUUGGUUGUAAAGCACUUUAAACGAGGAGGAGGCUACUCGUGUUAAUACCUAGGGAUAGUGGACGUUACUCGCAGAAAAAGCGUCGGCGAACUCGGUGCCGGCAGACGCGGUAAUACAGAGGUUGCAAGCGUUAAUCGGAUUUAUUGGGCGUAAAGCGCGCGUAGGUGGCCAAUUAAGUCAAAUGUGAAAUGCCCUGUCUUAACUUGGGAAUUGCAUUCGAUACUGGUUGGCUAGAGUAUGGGAGAGGAUGGUAGAAUUCCAGGUGUAGCGGUGAAAUGCGUAGAGAUCUGGAGGAAUACCGAUGGCGAAGGCAGCCAUCUGGCCUAAUACUGACACUGAGGUGCGAAAGCAUGGGGAGCAAACA